GACGAACGCUGGCGGCAUGCCUAAUACAUGCAAGUCGAGCGAACAGAUGAAGUGCUUGCACUUCUGACGUUAGCGGCGAACGGGUGAGUAACACGUAAGGAAUCUACCUAUAAGCGGGGGAUAACGUUCGGAAACGGGUGCUAAUACCGCAUAAUAUCUUCUUCCGCAUGGGAGAAGAUUGAAAGACGGCUCUGCUGUCACUUAUAGAUGACCUUGCGGUGCAUUAGUUAGUUGGUGGGGUAACGGCCUACCAAGACGAUGAUGCAUAGCCGACCUGAGAGGGUGAUCGGCCACAUUGGGACUGAGACACGGCCCAAACUCCUACGGGAGGCAGCAGUAGGGAAUCUUCCGCAAUGGGCGAAAGCCUGACGGAGCAAUGCCGCGUGAGUGAAGAAGGCCUUCGGGUCGUAAAACUCUGUUAUAAGAGAAGAACAAAUUGUAGAGUAACUGCUACAGUCUUGACGGUAUCUUGUCAGAAAGCCACGGCUAACUACGUGCCAGCCGCCGCAGUAA
This 513-nucleotide ribosomal RNA is filed under the name uncultured bacterium. Its description in RNAcentral is "partial 16S ribosomal RNA". It matches the Rfam family "Bacterial small subunit ribosomal RNA", at positions 28 to 523 of the family's 1533-position model. The record is from RNAcentral.